RNAcentral lists this small nuclear RNA (349 nucleotides) under Jaculus jaculus (lesser Egyptian jerboa). RNAcentral describes it as "7SK RNA (ENSJJAG00000001605.1)". The stretch from base 1 to 302 matches the Rfam family "7SK RNA". Rfam says of the family: 7SK was discovered as an abundant small nuclear RNA in the mid-70s but a possible function has only recently been suggested. Two independent studies have found that 7SK RNA binds the CDK9/cyclin T complex (known as elongation factor P-TEFb). Lineage: Eukaryota; Metazoa; Chordata; Mammalia; Rodentia; Dipodidae. The record is from Rfam by way of RNAcentral.
GGUGCUCUGAGUGAUCUGGCCGCGACAUCUGUCACCCCAUUGAUCUCCAGGGUUGAUUCGGCUGAUCUCGUGUCCCCUUCCUCCCUCACCACUCCAUGUGCUUCCCUCCCGAAGCUGUGCGCUCAAAGAGGACGACCUUCCCGGAAUAGAGGAGGACCGGUCUUCGGUCAAGGGGAGACAAGUAGCUGCGCUCCCCUGCUAGAACCUCCAAACAGGCUCCCAAUUAAAUAAAAUAUUUUUUAAAAAAUUCCCACUAGAAAUUAGCCUGGUCUCCCAACUUUUGUAAAAAUAAAUAAAUAAGUAAAAGUAGAGCUGGGAAAAUGGCUCAGUAGGUAGGAGGGCUUCCUGC